GCAGGCUGCAACCCGCCUGCAUGAAGUCGGAAUCGCUAGUAAUCGCGAGUCAGCAUAUCGCGGUGAAUACGUUCCCGGGUCUUGUACACACCGCCCGUCACACCAUGGGAGUUGGCAACACCCGAAGUCGAUGAGCUAACCUUUUAGGAGGCAGUCGCCUAAGGUGGGGUUGAUAACUGGGGUGAAGUCGUAACAAGGUAAC
Molecule: ribosomal RNA, 202 nt
Filed under: uncultured bacterium
Lineage: Bacteria
Description: partial 16S ribosomal RNA
Rfam family: Bacterial small subunit ribosomal RNA
Source: RNAcentral